Molecule: ribosomal RNA, 253 nt
Filed under: uncultured bacterium
Lineage: Bacteria
Description: partial 16S ribosomal RNA
Rfam family: Bacterial small subunit ribosomal RNA
Source: RNAcentral
UACGAAGGGGUCUAGCGUUGUUCGGAAUUACUGGGCGUAAAGGGCGCGUAGGCGGUGCUGUAAGUCAGGCGUGAAAUCCCCGGGCUCAACCUGGGAAUUGCGUUUGAUACUGCGGCGCUGGAAUGCGGGAGAGGAUGGCGGAAUUCCCAGUGUAGAGGUGAAAUUCGUAGAUAUUGGGAAGAACACCGGUGGCGAAGGCGGCCAUCUGGCCCGUAAUUGACGCUGAGGCGCGAAAGCGGGGGGAGCAAACAGG